GUUGAUUCUGCCAGAGGUUACUGCUAUCGAGGUUCGACUAAGCCAUGCGAGUCGAAUGUAGCAAUACAUGGCGUACUGCUCAGUAACACGUGGACAACCUACCCUUAGGACGGGGAUAAACCCGGGAAACUGGGUAUAAUACCCGAUAGUCCUCGACUGCUGGAAUGCAUCGAGAACUAAAGCUCCGGCGCCUAAGGAUGGGUCUGCGGCCUAUCAGGUAGUAGUGGGUGUAGUGUACCUACUAGCCUACGACGGGUACGGGUUGUGAGAGCAAGAGCCCGGAGAUGGAUUCUGAGACACGAAUCCAGGCCCUACGGGGUGCAGCAGGCGCGAAAACUUUACAAUGCUGGAAACAGCGAUAAGGGGACCUCGAGUGCCAGGUUACAAAUCUGGCUGUCGUGAUGCCUAAAACGCAUUGCAUAGCAAGGGCCGGGCAAGACCGGUGCCAGCCGCCGCGGUAACACCGGCGGCUCGAGUGGUAACCGUUAUUGUUGGGUCUAAAGGGUCUGUAGCCGGCCGGAUAAGUCUCUUGGGAAAUCUGGCGGCUUAACUGUCAGGCUUUCAGGAGAUACUGUCUGGCUCGAGGCCGGGAGAGGUGAGAGGUACUUCAGGGGUAGGGGUGAAAUCUUGUAAUCCUUGAAGGACCACCAGUGGCGAAGGCGUCUCACCAGAACGGACCUGACGGCAAGGGACGAAAGCUAGGGGCACGAACCGGAUUAGAUACCCGGGUAGUCCUAGCCGUAAACGAUACUCGCUAGGUGUCGGCCACGGUGCGACCGUUGUCGGUGCCGUAGGGAAGCCGUGAAGCGAGCCACCUGGGAAGUACGGCCGCAAGGCUGAAACUUAAAGGAAUUGGCGGGGGAGCACCACAACGG
This 875-nucleotide ribosomal RNA is filed under the name uncultured archaeon. RNAcentral describes it as "bacterial SSU rRNA". It matches the Rfam family "Archaeal small subunit ribosomal RNA", at positions 7 to 887 of the family's 1478-position model. The record is from RNAcentral.